Molecule: ribosomal RNA, 427 nt
Filed under: uncultured bacterium
Lineage: Bacteria
Description: partial 16S ribosomal RNA
Rfam family: Bacterial small subunit ribosomal RNA
Source: RNAcentral
UGGGGAAUAUUGCACAAUGGGCGCAAGCCUGAUGCAGCCAUGCCGCGUGUAUGAAGAAGGCCUUCGGGUUGUAAAGUACUUUCAGCGAGGAGGAAGGCGGUAAGGUUAAUAACCUUAUCGAUUGACGUUACUCGCAGAAGAAGCACCGGCUAACUCCGUGCCAGCAGCCGCGGUAAUACGGAGGGUGCAAGCGUUAAUCGGAAUUACUGGGCGUAAAGCGCACGCAGGAGGGCUGUCAAGUCGGAUGUGAAAUCCCCGGGCUCAACCUGGGAACUGCAUUCGAAACUGGCAGGCUAGAGUCUUGUAGAGGGGGGUAGAAUUCCAGGUGUAGCGGUGAAAUGCGUAGAGAUCUGGAGGAAUACCGGUGGCGAAGGCGGCCCCCUGGACAAAGACUGACGCUCAGGUGCGAAAGCGUGGGGAGCAAACA